GCCAAGUGAACCUGAUAAAGCUGGAUCUCAUCAGAUUCUAGAGGGCUUGCCAUGUUCCUUUACUGCCUCUCAGUGAACUGAAAAGGGAGAGGGACAGUGCUUAUUCAAGCCACACAAUUAAGGAAAGAGCCUCAAAGUUUGGAGAAGCUUGCUGGUCAUUGGGCCAAGGUUUUCCCUGGAGUGGACAUGUCCACCACAGCCCCAUUGCCUAGUGGCCACCCAGGGUCUCGAUAAAUGUCCCCAGUGACUCCACACCACUGAGACAAGAGCCUGGCUCGUUUUGAGUUGGAUUCUGUAUUGCAUCAUGUGAUGGGCCCUGAUUGAUUGAAUCAGACCUCAACUGAAGACUUAGCUUCUAAUCUUUUGCUAAGUGUUAUUCAGGUGGCCAAGACAUGGAAACAACCAAAGUGCCCUUCAAUAAAUGAUUUGAUAAAGAAGAUGUGGUACUUGUACACAAUGGAAUACUAUUCAGCCACAAGAAAAGGUGAAAUUCUGCUAUUUGCAACCACAUGAAUGGACCUUGAGAAUAUCAUGCUAAGUGAAAAAAAGUCAGACAGAAAAAUGUAAGAACCACAUGAUUUCACUCAUAUAUGGGAUAUAAAACAAAAACUCA
Long non-coding RNA from Eptesicus fuscus (big brown bat), 613 nucleotides. RefSeq lists it as uncharacterized. NCBI's taxonomy places the organism in Eukaryota, Metazoa, Chordata, Mammalia, Chiroptera, Vespertilionidae. The transcript is spliced from 3 exons. The record is from RefSeq and is a predicted model, not a curated record.